This 22-nucleotide unclassified non-coding RNA is filed under the name Mus musculus (house mouse). RNAcentral describes it as "oocyte_clustered_small_RNA8586". Lineage: Eukaryota; Metazoa; Chordata; Mammalia; Rodentia; Muridae. The record is from RNAcentral.
UUUAGUGCAGAGUUCUAUUGAC